Molecule: ribosomal RNA, 406 nt
Filed under: uncultured bacterium
Lineage: Bacteria
Description: partial 16S ribosomal RNA
Rfam family: Bacterial small subunit ribosomal RNA
Source: RNAcentral
AUUGAACGCUGGCGGCAGGCUUAACACAUGCAAGUCGAACGAGUGGCGGACGGGUGAGUAAUGUCUGGGAAACUGCCUGAUGGAGGGGGAUAACUACUGGAAACGGUAGCUAAUACCGCAUACCAUCAGAUGUGCCCAGAUGGGAUUAGCUAGUGGGGGGGGUAACGGCUCACCUAGGCGACGAUCCCUAGCUGGUCUGAGAGGAUGACCAGCCAAACGGGAACGAAGACACGGUCCAGACUCCUACGGGAGGCAGCAGUGGGGAAUAUUGCACAAUGGGCGCAAGCCUGAUGCAGCCAUGCCGCGUGUGUGAAGAAGGCCUUCGGGUUGUAAAGCACUUUCAGCGGGGAGGCGUUACCCGCAGAAGAAGCACCGGCUAACUCCGUGCCAGCCGCCGCGGUAAUAC